This 75-nucleotide transfer RNA is filed under the name Vicugna pacos (alpaca). Its description in RNAcentral is "tRNA-Ala (AGC) (tRNA-Ala-AGC-426-1)". It matches the Rfam family "tRNA". Rfam says of the family: Transfer RNA (tRNA) molecules are approximately 80 nucleotides in length. Their secondary structure includes four short double-helical elements and three loops (D, anti-codon, and T loops). Lineage: Eukaryota; Metazoa; Chordata; Mammalia; Artiodactyla; Camelidae. The record is from RNAcentral.
GGAGAGAGUAUAGCUCAGUGGUAGAGUGUGUGCUUAGCAUGCACAAGGUCCUGGGUUCAAUCCCCAGUACCUCCA